Molecule: ribosomal RNA, 468 nt
Filed under: uncultured bacterium
Lineage: Bacteria
Description: bacterial SSU rRNA
Rfam family: Bacterial small subunit ribosomal RNA
Source: RNAcentral
AGGACGAACGCUGGCGGCGUGCUUAACACAUGCAAGUCGAGCGAUGAAGCUUUCUUCGGAAAGUGGAUUAGCGGCGGACGGGUGAGUAACACGUGGGUAACCUGCCUCAUAGAGGGGAAUAGCCUUUCGAAAGGAAGAUUAAUACCGCAUAAGAUUGUAAUACCGCAUGGUAUAGCAAUUAAAGGAGUAAUCCGCUAUGAGAUGGACCCGCGUCGCAUUAGCUAGUUGGUGAGGUAACGGCUCACCAAGGCGACGAUGCGUAGCCGACCUGAGAGGGUGAUCGGCCACAUUGGGACUGAGACACGGCCCAGACUCCUACGGGAGGCAGCAGUGGGGAAUAUUGCACAAUGGAGGAAACUCUGAUGCAGCCAUGCCGCGUGUGUGAAGAAGGCCUUCGGGUUGUAAAGCACUUUCGGAGGGGAGGAAAAGAUGACGUUACCCUCAGAAGAAGCACCGGCUAACUCCGUG